This 556-nucleotide long non-coding RNA is filed under the name Elaeis guineensis (African oil palm). RNAcentral's name for it is "long non-coding RNA (EGUI_LNC029874)". Lineage: Eukaryota; Viridiplantae; Streptophyta; Magnoliopsida; Arecales; Arecaceae. The record is from RNAcentral.
CAACAAACGCUUCGCUGACCAAAAAAAAAAAGGUUCAGAAUAGUAUCAACAUGACUCAGUUAUAUCAAAAUCUUUCAACCAGGUUCCCCCCCAACUAAUUACUUCCUAGUAGAUUUGAUAUACAAGUAGACUUCCAGGCAAAGAAAAGGAAACAUAACUUCCUUUGUCAUUGCAGAUUAUACAAAAUAUUAAGAAUGAUACCGGAGAACGUGACUAUUCAAUUUACAGCACACCAGUUAAAGCUCCUCUGAAAAUUAAACCCAAGUACCUUUAAAGAUAAACUGCCACUCGCUCUAAAUCAAUAGCAAAUCAUCAUAGUUCUCCUCCCUGCCUAGUACACUAUUCUCCUUACAAUCGAUCUUUCCUUCUCCAUAUUACUGUUUUGGUCAUGCAUGCCUAAUAUUUGAUUUGAUGAAGAGGAUCUACUUGGUCUUAAAGCAAGAUCACGCUCUUCAAUUGAAGACGGACGCCUUCCAAGAAAAAGCAACUCCGAGUCACAUCAACCUGUGCAUGAAUCGAACAGUAGACCAAUCCUAAACUAUUUAUAACCUGCCAG